Molecule: antisense RNA, 178 nt
Filed under: Nostoc sp. PCC 7120 = FACHB-418
Lineage: Bacteria; Bacillati; Cyanobacteriota; Cyanophyceae; Nostocales; Nostocaceae
Description: Nostoc sp. PCC 7120 Antisense RNA which regulates isiA expression
Rfam family: Antisense RNA which regulates isiA expression
Source: Rfam by way of RNAcentral
GGUAGCUAAAAAUAGUUGCAAAGUUCCAAGUCGGAUGAGAAAUAACUCGCACUUCUCCUAAUGUGGGGUCGUAUAAGCCUCCAAAAAAGACGGCUUUGGCAACGAGUAAGCCUGCUCCUAAACCUAGCAAAACUAAAUGUAUGCCCAGGAUAGUCGUCAUUUUAUUAGCAUCUUGCCA